UUUGGCACUUAAGAAUUCCACU
Molecule: microRNA, 22 nt
Filed under: Strongyloides ratti
Lineage: Eukaryota; Metazoa; Nematoda; Chromadorea; Rhabditida; Strongyloididae
Description: str-miR-8382-3p
Source: miRBase by way of RNAcentral